RNAcentral lists this ribosomal RNA (241 nucleotides) under uncultured Actinomycetales bacterium. Its description in RNAcentral is "partial 16S ribosomal RNA". It matches the Rfam family "Bacterial small subunit ribosomal RNA", at positions 89 to 334 of the family's 1533-position model. Lineage: Bacteria; Bacillati; Actinomycetota; Actinomycetes; Actinomycetales. The record is from RNAcentral.
ACUCGAGUGGCGAACGGGUGAGUGACACGUGGGUGAUCUGCCCUGCACUUCGGGAUAAGCUUGGGAAACUGGGUCUAAUACCGGAUAGGAGCCAUCUUUAGUGUGGUGGUUGGAAAGUUUUUCGGUGUAGGAUGAGCUCGCGGCCUAUCAGCUUGUUGGUGGGGUAAUGGCCUACCAAGGCGGCGACGGGUAGCCGGCCUGAGAGGGUGUACGGCCACAUUGGGACUGAGAUACGGCCCAG